CCCCGCCCGGCCGGCCGGCGCACGGGGAGGCAGCGGAGCGGCAGGGCACAGGGGGCGGUGCGCGCACAGGACUGACCACCAGCAGCGAAAAAGAAGGUACUUUUAUUGUCCACAGACUCUUAAAGCUAUGUAAAGGUUCUGUGAAAGCCAACAAAACCUCACAGGGGUGCAGUUAUAGGUACUUCAACAGGUAUGGAGGUAUUAGAUCCUAUUCAUAUGAAAAUAAAGCGAUGGUACCCAGCCACCUCUUUUGCUGUUCCCACCCACAGUAACACAUCACUGGGCACCUGCAAACACAAGCUCUCCUGGGUCUGUCUGCAAAGCGAGAGGGGGAAAACAGAAAACACCAAAGGAGACAAAGCUGAGGAAGUUGUAGAACUUGAUACUCAGGAAUAAGUAACCCUUGGAAUGAACAUAAGGAUGAUUUCAGCAACUAAAAUUCUUCAAAAGAUAUGCAUAGCUGGCUGAUUUUUCAAACUGAUACUGUUCAUGCUGACUUCCACUUUUUCUGCAGAUGAGGCAUUGCAAGUUGCCAUGAACUGUCAUUAGAUCAGACUGGGCAUAGUCCUUCCUUGGAUGGAUUUUACCUUUGCAGAGAAGCAACCAGUCCAAAAUCAGUUAUGAAUCUGAGUAUGUGAUGUGAAUUCAGUUAAAUUGACACAUUAACCAGACAGAUAGAAUGAUAUUGCAAUAAACUAACAUAAAUUAUUUUUUUGGAGAAAAUAAAAAUAGCACAUCUAUUUAUGAUGAUCAUCAUUACAAAACUUGUUUUUGCUCCAUGGCUGUGCACUAAUGUGUUUUUGAGAGUAAUAAUGAAGACAAUUAAAAAAACCAAGGAAAAAAAGCA
Passer montanus (Eurasian tree sparrow) is the source of this 847-nucleotide long non-coding RNA. RefSeq lists it as uncharacterized. Lineage: Eukaryota; Metazoa; Chordata; Aves; Passeriformes; Passeridae. The transcript is spliced from 4 exons. The record is from RefSeq and is a predicted model, not a curated record.